CUUGAUUCUAGAUUGGUGGAUCAUUCAAGAAGUCUUGUGAAGAUGGCUCAGGUGGUCCCCUUAUAAUCUCCAAAGGUUCGAGAUCUUUUGACUCAAGU
This 98-nucleotide transfer RNA is filed under the name Amborella trichopoda. Its description in RNAcentral is "tRNA AMTR_s00037t00278050". Lineage: Eukaryota; Viridiplantae; Streptophyta; Magnoliopsida; Amborellales; Amborellaceae. The record is from RNAcentral.